Molecule: long non-coding RNA, 748 nt
Filed under: Nicotiana benthamiana
Lineage: Eukaryota; Viridiplantae; Streptophyta; Magnoliopsida; Solanales; Solanaceae
Description: long non-coding RNA (NBEN_LNC031028)
Source: RNAcentral
CCAGAAUUGAAAAACUACAUCAGACUUAAACAAAUUUAAGUCUAUGAUUCAACAUAAUAGUUUCCUAGUAAUAAGAUCAAAUCAAAUCAUAGAGAGCAACCAUACAUCCUUAGGCAGAACUUUUAUUUAAGAAGCAUCAAGUUAGCUCUUGCAAUCCUAAGAUAUGGUGUUUAAGUGAAGGACAGAAACUUAAGUAUAAAAUAAAAAAAUCUACGCAUACACAAAGUUAUUACUUAUUUGGUUAAGCCUAAGUCAUAGUAUCUAUUUGACACAAUAUUCUAAACAAGUUCACACAUAUAAUAAUCCUACAUACAGAUUAUCUAGUGCAUAAAAAUUCUGAUACAAAAUAGAGUUAAGCACAUAUUAAGGUUCAAGAGACGUACCCGAUUGAAACUUGGCAUGCUUUCAAUGGAAAAUCGCACGACUGGCGACUGUUGUUAUCCUGAUACAAAAUAGAGUUAAGCACAUAUUGAGGUUCAAGAGACGUACCCGAUUGAAACUUGGCAUGCUUUCAAUGGAAAAUCGCACGACUGGCGACUGUUGUUAUCCUAAAUUUAUAUUAAAAAGAGAUUAAGAAAACUUACAACUAUGUUUCCCACAACUAUCAGUUGCAAUUUCUUUCUCGCUAAUGGAAUCUUAAUUUUCUCAAAAGAGAUUCUUGAGAUAGUAGAGCUUCGUGCUGAUAACGUGUUAUAAAAUAAUACAAGAACAAGAACAAUAUUGCAGAGAAAGUAGGGAGAGGAGANNN